UGUGGGAGCUGGCUUGCCUGCGAUAGCGGUGUAACAGCCACCUGAUGCAUCAACUGACAGGCUGCUAUCGCAGGCAAGCCAGCUCCCACA
This 90-nucleotide unclassified non-coding RNA is filed under the name Pseudomonas synxantha. Lineage: Bacteria; Pseudomonadati; Pseudomonadota; Gammaproteobacteria; Pseudomonadales; Pseudomonadaceae. The record is from RNAcentral.